GAUGAACGCUGGCGGCAUGCCUAAUACAUGCAAGUCGAACGGAGCACUUCGGUGCUCAGUGGCGAACGGGUGAGUAACACGUAGACAACCUGCCUGUGAGACUGGGAUAAUCACUGGAAACGGUGACUAAUACCGGAUAGGUACAACGGAGGCAUCUCUGAUGUAUUAAAGUCGGGACACGACGCUGACAGAUGGAUCUGCGGUGCAUUAGCUAGUUGGUGAGGUAACGGCCCACCAAGGCGAUGAUGCAUAGCCGGCCUGAGAGGGUGAACAGCCACAUUGGGACUGAGACACGGCCCAAACUCCUACGGGAGGCAGCAGUAGGGAAUUUUCGGGCAAUGGGGGGAACCCUGACCGAGCAAUGCCGCGUGAGUGAAGACGGCCU
RNAcentral lists this ribosomal RNA (385 nucleotides) under uncultured bacterium. RNAcentral describes it as "bacterial SSU rRNA". It matches the Rfam family "Bacterial small subunit ribosomal RNA", at positions 28 to 417 of the family's 1533-position model. The record is from RNAcentral.